Molecule: unclassified non-coding RNA, 343 nt
Filed under: soil metagenome
Description: partial contains 5.8S ribosomal RNA, internal transcribed spacer 2, and large subunit ribosomal RNA
Rfam family: 5.8S ribosomal RNA (bases 1-119)
Source: RNAcentral
GAUGAAGAACGUAGCGAAAUGCGAUACGUAAUGUGAAUUGCAAAUUCAGUGAAUCAUCGAGUCUUUGAACGCACAUUGCGCCCCCUGGUAUUCCGGGGGGCAUGCCUGUCCGAGCGUCAUUGCUGCCCUCAAGCACGGCUUGUGUGGUGGGCCUCCGUCCUCCUCCCGGGGGACGGGCCCGAAAGGCAGCGGCGGCACCGCGUCCGGUCCUCGAGCGUAUGGGGCUUCGUCACCCGCUCUUGUAGGCCCGGCCGGCGCUUGCCGACACAUCAAUCUUUUUUCCAGGUUGACCUCGGAUCAGGUAGGGAUACCCGCUGAACUUAAGCAUAUCAUAAGCGGAGGA